GCCUGGGGGGCAGAGCUUUCUGUAUUUAAAUGAGGUGGGCGUGGCCUAACCCAAUUUCCUUUCAGCCGCCGCCUUGGCCACGCCCACCCCGGUGGUUGGCCCCGCCCCCUCGGCCACGCCCACCCCAAAUUUGGGGAAGGGGGCGGGGCCAGCGCCGGCCCCGCCCGUCGCCGCCUUCGCGCUGCCCCAGCGGCUCCUGCUGGCCCCGGACAUGCAGGCCCGGCUGCCCUCGGGCGAGCUCGUCAGCCUGGGCGCUCUGGCCGCGCUGGCCCCGCCCCGCCCCGCCCCCCCCGCCGCGGGGGGCGUGGCCAAACCCGCGGGGCCCCUCCCCCCUCCGGCCCCGCCCCCCGCGCAGGCCCCGCCCCCUCUGACGUUGCAGCUGCAGGGCGGGAAAGUGACGCUCGGCCCCGCCCCCCCAUUACGUCACCUGGCGCUGGCCCCGCCCCCCGCGCGCGGAUUGGCCCGUGAGUAACAGAGGGGGCGGGGCCACAGCGGGGGGCGGGGGGGUGGGGGAAUUUGGGGGAAUUUUGGGGGGAUUUUGGGGGUUUUAGGGAAAUUUGAGAUUUUUUGGGGGAAUUUAAGGGGGAUUUUGGGGGAUUUUGGGGGGAUUUUAGGGAGAAAUUUGGGAAUUUUGGGGAAUUUGGGGGGGAAAUUUGGGAUUUUGGGGGUUUUGGAACAAUUUUGGGAUUUUUUGGGGAAUUUAAGGGGAAAUUUGGGAGGAUUUGGUGGGAAAUUUUGGGAAAAAUUUGGGGGCAAUUGGGGAUUUUGGGAGGAAUUUGGGGAUUUUGGGGGGAUUUUAGGGGAUUUUGGGGGGAUUUUGGGGGAAUUUUGGGAGGAUUUGGGAAGAAAUUUGGGAAUUUUGGGGAAUUUGGGGGGAAUUUGGGGGAAAUUUGGAAUAUUUUGGGGGAAAUUCGGGGGGAAUGUCGGGAAAAAUUUGGUGAUUUUGGGGGGAAUUGGGGAUUUUGGGGGGGAUUUUGGGGGAUUUUUGGGAAAUUGGGGAUUUUGGGGGCUUUUGGGGGAAUUUUGGGGGGAAAUUUGGGGGGAAUGUGGGGAGAAAUUUGGGGAUUUUGGGAUGAGUUUUGGGAAUUCUUGGGAAGAUUUUUGGGAGGAUUUGGGGGGGAUGUGAGGAAAUUUUGGGGGGAAAUUUGGGGAAAUUGGGGAUUUUGGGGGGAUUUGGGGUAAAUUUGGGAGGAUUUGGGGAUUUUGGGUGAGAUUUUGGGGGAAAUUUUUGAGAUUUUAAGGAAAUCUGGGAUUUUUUUGGAAUUUAAGGAGAAAUUUUGGAGGGGAAUUUGAGAGGAUUUGGGGAUUUUGGGGGGUAUUUUGGGGAGAAAUUCGGUAAUUUGGGGGAUUUGGGGAGAAAAUUUGGCAAUUUUAAGGGGAUUUUGGGGGAAUUCAGGAGGGAAUUUUGGGGAAAUUCGGGAUUUUUUGGGGAAUUUGGGGGAAUUUUGGGGGAAAUUGGGGAUUUGGGGGGAUUUUGGGGGGAAUUCGGGAGAUUUUGGGGGGAUUUGGGGGGAAUUUUGAGGGAUUUGGGGGGAAUUUGGGGAAAUUUGGUGGAUUUUGGGGGGAAUUUGGGAAUUUGGGGGAUUUUUGGAGAUUUUGGGGGAAUUUUGGGAGAUUUUGGGGGAAUUCGGGAGAUUUUGGGGGAAUUUUGGGAUUUUUUGGGGAAUUUGGGGGAAAAUUUGGGGGAAAUUUUGGGAGGAAUUGGGGGGAAUGUUGAGAAAAAUUUGGGGAUUAUGGGGGGAU
Molecule: long non-coding RNA, 1743 nt
Filed under: Taeniopygia guttata (zebra finch)
Lineage: Eukaryota; Metazoa; Chordata; Aves; Passeriformes; Estrildidae
Description: lncRNA (ENSTGUG00000022080.1)
Source: RNAcentral